RNAcentral lists this long non-coding RNA (1253 nucleotides) under Homo sapiens (human). Its description in RNAcentral is "HSALNT0205209". Lineage: Eukaryota; Metazoa; Chordata; Mammalia; Primates; Hominidae. The record is from RNAcentral.
UCUCGCUCUGUCCCGCUGCCUGGAGUGCAGUGGCGCGAUCUCGGCUCACUGCAAGCUCCGCCUCCCAGGUUCGCGCCAUUCUCCUGCCUCAGCCUCCCGAGUAGCUGGGACUAUAGGCGCCCUCUACCGCGCCCAGCUAAUGUUUUUUUGUUUUUGUAUUUUUAGUAGAGACGGGGUUUCACCGUGUUAGCCAGGAUGGUCUCGAUCUCCUGACCUCGUGAUCCGCCCGCCUCGGCCUCCCAAAGUGCUGGGAUUACAGGAGUGAGCCACCGCGCCCGGCCACGUAGUUUGACUUCUAAGAGCACUACAGCUCUGCUGAAGAUGUGGUUUGUCAGCUGACUGAUUAUUCUCUGCUGUUCUGGAUAGUCUUCUAUGUACAAAACUAGAGAUGAGUGGACUUUUCGUGUGCUGUGUGGUGGAUGUGACUCAGGUCAUAGCCACUGCUCUGAAAAGUGAUGGAGUCAGGGAGCCAUCAUCCAGCCUCACCUCCUGGGUUGUCAACCUACAUUUUUGGAGCCAGCUCAUUCUUUGAGGUUUCUCUAAGUCCCCAUAUAUUACAAGAAUCUCGGAUACAUUACUUGAGGACAGUAUAGAUUCCAGAAGAGCUGCUAUUCAUGUUGACCAACAGUCUUAAGCAGAAAGAAAUAGCUUCUGGAAAAAUAACUGUGCAACCCUUGUCAGAGUGGGCUCUGCCUUCCAUAGUUAUUCAGGAUCCCCUAGUGGAUGAAAGCCUGGUUAUCAGUCACACCAUCUGGAAUAUGUAAUUACUGUGGAAGAGGAAAAGACACACUACAGUGCAUCUUAAUUGCCUGGAAGCUGAAAGUGACAUAACUCAUUUCUGACCACAUCCCAUUGGCCAAUCCUAAUAGCAUGGCCCCAGCAUAACUGCAAGGGAAGCACAUGUAUUUGGUUAGCCCUCUGUACACAUGGUAAUUCUAAAAUUUAAUGUCCAAAAUUUUCCUUCUAUUCUACGUGAGCAAAUCCCCAAUUAUGUAAAUAAAAAACAAAAACCUCCAAACAAUGGGUCAUCUUUUGUUUCCCACAUUAUUUUGUAACUGAUAUUCAAUUCAUCAGAAAUUCUGUUAGCUUGAUAUAAAGAAUAUCCUGAAUUUGAUCACAUCUCACAACAUCUACUAAUACCAACCUCCUUCCUACUAGCUUUACAUACAUAGAAAAAUUCUUUUUUGUGUUAAAGUAAAUUUAAUUUAAAAUUACUUUUAAAUUAAAUGUUUUUAUGUAACAUGCAUGUCUGC